Molecule: long non-coding RNA, 1614 nt
Filed under: Pelobates cultripes (western spadefoot toad)
Lineage: Eukaryota; Metazoa; Chordata; Amphibia; Anura; Pelobatidae
Source: RNAcentral
UGGAAUGUGUCUGCUGACUGUGAGGUACAUGGUCAAAGUUUACUCAAUGAUGAGUCCGCAGCGAACCGUUCGCGAACCGUUUGGCGAACCGGUCGGGACAUCACUAGUGACAAUUAACAAAGGGGAGUGCAAAUUUUAGGCUCCAAUAGUCAAGUGGACUAUAGAUCCUCAUACAUUACCGUUAUUGGGCAUUUCCUAAUGAAAAAUUGAAGGGUACAGCUGGAAUUUGCUUCCUCCAUUUUUCCUAAAAUUGAUCGGAACUGUUUAAGGUUCUGUGGAUUUUUUUAAAAUGUAUAUUUGAUAAAUUAAAAAAAAUGUAAAACAAAACAAAAUUCACAAGUUUUAAUAUUUAAAGAUCCAAAGAAAUAGUCCACUGUUAAGGCGGUCCACUGCAGGAAAUGUGUUGAGAAACUGUAUUUCAACAGACAAUUCUGUAUACGACAAAGAGACACAUUUUAAUUGAUUUGAUAAAAGUUUCACUUUGACGUCUUUCAUAGGUGCUAAGUUCUUCCUUUAGGAGCUAUUAAAAUUUCUGAGCACAUGUUUGUAUGUAAAUAUACAGUAUCUACUUUUAUAAUGCUUUAUAUAUAUAUAUCAUGUGGUUCAUUAACAAGAACCUACAAAAAUAUGUAAAUCAGGGACUUUUUAUGGUGCUACUGUAACUCCUGCCAAGCAUAUUGCUUGAAAUAAUGUUGCAAAUAAGUCCGUGCCUUGUUGUGCUAUUGCGUUUUUUCGCAUCCUGUUAAAAAAGAAAAAAAAAUCUUGUCUGUUAAGCCAUUUUAAUAGUUGUGUUUUGACAAUUAUUAUUUUAAUGUUAAGUCCCACAUUGUAAACCUUGCAGUGCCAAAAGGAGGAACUAUGUUUCAAAUCAGGAUUAAUUUCAUUUUUCCAUGUCACUAAGUGUCCCUUUUAUUAGUGAAAAUUAACAAUUCUUCAAUAAAGAACCUUUGAUUUAAAUGAAAAAUAUGUAAAACACAAAUUUGACUGACUACUUUUAAUAUUUUGGCCUAGAGUUGUCACUUUUUUUUGUACAAAAGAUAUCUCCUAUUUGGCAACUCUGUCUGGAGCCUUCAAAACAUUACAGAGAUGUGAAGAAAUAGUGUUGGGGAAGGCAAUCUUUGGAAUUCUAGAUGUUGUGGACUAUAUCUACCAUAAUGCUCUUACAGUCAUAAUGCUGGCAAAGCAUCAGGAGGACUCUAGCUCACAACAUAUGGAAUGCCAAAGGUUGCCUACCCCUUAAAAUUGUGGAUGAACAUGCUUGGACCUCCUAGCUGCAGGUGGCAGCACUGAUUUAUAAACUGUAUUUAUAUAUUCUGGUACAGGAUCUAAUUUCCAGUCAUCCUGAACUAAAAAUUUUUGGGAAAAGGGACAAUAACUUAUUUUAAAGAUCUUAACAUUUAUGGUUACUGAGAGUUCUGUAAAUAAAUAAAUAGAUAAGCAAUAAGCUAAAAAUGUGACUUCCUCGGGCAAAACUGAGACACAUUACUCUGUGCAUACUACUUCCCAAGUGCCCCUAUUUAGGAGGGACAGUCCGUAUUUUGCGUCCAAAUUUUUCUGUCCCUCUUUUCUAUUCUAACGUGUCUCUUUUCUAGGAGCUCCAUAUUGCUAUAGAGU